UUUGUAGGUUCAUUACAACCAUUGUUCAAAUUCAUAAUCAAAAGCAAGCACUACUGCUGUAGUAGUAUGUCACGCAGUCUUGCUUUCCCUGACUUUGCAUCAAGAUUGUGAAGAUGUGAUCCGCUUUUUUUAAGAAUUUUGGGCAAAUUUAUCAAAUUAAUUUGGAAGCUCUACAUAAAGGGGAAAGAGUGAAAAAGUCAUUCAGUGACAAGACAUAGCCUGGUGAAUAACUUUAAACUCAUUCUCAAAAAACAUCAGUGAGAUAAAAGGCUCCACAGACACUUUAGUUUUUAUCUAUCCCCACCAGGUUUAGGAAUAUAAUAUGAACUUCUUAGGAAUUCUUUGGGUGACGGAUUUUUUUAAAAGAAGAUAGAAAAUUUGCUGAUUGCUUAUACUUGUCAUGCAAUUAAAGUAAGAGCAUUUCAGUUUCACAUUUAGAGCAUAAAGUGGCUGUUAAAGGAGUCAGCAAUGUGUUUGUUUUCUUCCUUCAGCCCAGUGUCCUAACUUGAUAGAGAAACAUCUUGUGUAUGGCUUGCAGAUGAGGAAUCCAAACUGUCUACAGCACAGGAUCAGACAAACCAAUCCUAGACAGUGUUGCAAAGUCAGCGGUCCAUUCAAGUAUCAUUUACUUGGCAAAAGCUGUUGGUACAGAUGUCUAACUUCAAAAACAGAGGAAGCACGGAGGACUGGAGUGACUCCCGUAGCUGUUGGUGGUAUUUUCUCCUUCAUCCUAGAGUUCUGCUUGCCUGAGGAUCUGCAACUAGUUUCUACAAUAAACAUACAGAAAGAAAGAACUGAGAUCAGAUAGGUCCCUCCAGAUGGAUGAAUGCAACUAGACUAAGAUUAACACACAAGAAGGAAGAGUCUGGCAUCAGAAUUGCAUAUCAUUAAAAGAGACCAGCAACUGAACAGUAAGUGGCAUCUCAAUACAUCAUGAAGCCCCAUAAUACGGCAUCUAAGUCAGAACACUCGCUAGGCCAGUAGUUUUGACUAAGAGAGAAUCUUAACUAGUGAGGUUCACCCACAUGAAAGAGGAACAUGAUAGCUGUAACCUCAAAAAAGGAAACUAGAAAAAAAUCGGAAUAUGAAGUACAGAAAUAUUAUUUAUCAUGUUGUUAUUUAGUAUUUAUACCACGAUAACCACUGCUAAAGGGUUUUGUCCUCGCUAGCUAAUGGUUUUAUUAACAUGUAUUUAUGCUGGGUGUUUCUGCCAAGCCUCCAAUUACACCACCUUGUACACUAAUUGUAAACUGACUUGGUAUUGUCACAAAACUGCCACAGGUUGAUGCCUUCAGACAGAAAAAUCAUUGUGACCAUGCCUCUAGGGUGCAGCAGACAAGAUAUUGUAAUAAGAAGUUAUAGCCCUUUGGAUUAGGAGGGAAGAAAAUCUUCAACCAAACUAAUGCAACGAUGUCUUCCCGCAUCUGCAAGCUGCUCUGUGUUUUUGAAGCCAUGCAUACCUUUCUGAAGCAGGAUGCAAGUCAACUCACAAGAUUCUGUUCACUUUCACAGCUGAUACUCAGAAUUCAGCAAUUAUAUUGAUUCUGAAGAUUCUUUAUCAGUUCUGUUGCAUGGGAAUGGGCAAUCUUUGGAGCUAGAAAUGGUGAAUAGAGUAUCAAAGAGGUUAGUCUUCAAACUUGACUCGUGUUAGACAGAGAUCAAUCCAAAAGAUAGCUCCUGGAAAGUAUCAGGAACACCACUGAAACAAGAGUACUCAAAGAUUUCCAUGGAGCUGAGGCCACAGUCCUCAGUCCACUGUGAUAGGGUCUAUGAGAUGAUGCCUUAAUUUUUAUUCUAACGGUAACAAAUCCAACAAAAAAGAAAUAUAUUCAAUGUGAACAGAAAGGGAAGAGCCCAUCAUUGUGAGUCAAAUCAAAGUGAGUGGCCGAUGCUUAUAAGCCUCUUACUAACUAAUCCUUUGUUCUCUUUCACUUUGAUUUUGUCUUAGCUAAUCUAGAUAGAAAUGCUAUUAUACAAACCCAAAAGCGGGUUUUUGAAGGUAACAGCUUACCUGCAAGCAGAAACUUUAACAAAUGUUAAUUGCAAGUCAAAAUGAAGACUGGAACUGUGGUCACAUAUUCUUUAAACUGAGGAAAUUCUUCAGGCAAAUUCAAAUUAUUCACUCAGUUACAUUCUCUUCAGAACUAACAAGCAGUUCUCUCCUAACUGUUCUCUUUGCUUAUUUGAAUCUGUAAGAAUGUCCUCCUUGAUAAACAAACUAAACACAAAGGACUCCACACAACUCUAAUAUUCCUAUUAGCUUAUUCAACAGAUAGGAAAGUGGACAGCAGAUAUAAAGGUGACAGUACUUUUAGGGAUGUACCAUACAGAAAAUAAAUUAAAAAGCCAAAAGCUAUGGUCAGGUUAGCAAGCUGCUCUGCAAACAAAUUAAUUUUUCUGAUGGGCUCUUAAGACUUAUCAUAGUCUCCCCUUUCUCCUUUCCCUCAAUACUGUAAAGGAUGAUCCACAAAAAUGCCCUCUUUCUGUCCGACAGCUUUUCACAUUAAAGUCCCUCCUAACAUACAAUGGAGAUGUGAGACUUCCCACACAGUGCUACAUCAUGUUUACAGAAAGGGGACUGUUACUAGCACCUAGAUCCUUAGAGGGAUCUAGACAUUCUCACUUCUGAUCAUGUUAUUUUGAGGUUAAGCUCUACACUGGUUUAAUGAAAUGUACCUGUAUAAAAAGCAAAUUCAGCAUGAGACAACUUGGUUCAUUUCAGUGAACUUGAGAAGGGAAGGAUAAAGCAGGCAUGAGAACAAACUGAAACAGGUUUCUGAGCAACAGCAGCAUGAUGAUUUAGAUAUCUGGUAUCAAACCCAAGGUCAAACGUAUCAUUUCUUUCCUCCCUGAUGGCUUUUACCUUCAGGAGUUUGGCACUGGAUAUUAAGCAUUUGUCUUUUCCCAAGCAAGCAGUUUUCCAUUAUGGUUUGGUGAUGGCACAACAGACAAUGGGGUGUCUCAAGAUUUUUUUUUUUUUUUAAGCACAGUACAAUAUCACAUACAAGUCCUGUAGUUUGUUUAGUCUCUCAUUUUUACAAUUAAUACAUUAAGGGAACUGAGGUUGCCGCUACCUGGAAGCUAAUAUAAACCUGGAAGGUUUAUAGAAGCAAUACAGGUGCUAACAACCAAAGCACUAUACUGUUCUAGAUUUGGGUCCCAGCCUGCCUUUGCAUACAAGGUCAAUGCCAACAAGUGUUUUAUAGAGUUGGUCCUUGUCUGAAGUUCAAUAGCUGCCACAAAAGGACAAAUACACUACGGCAUUUUAAGAUCAAUAUUAUUUCUCAUCUUCCAAACAGAAGCAAAGGAAAAUGCAUGACAUUUUUGAUAUGUUGUUUUCCAAAGAAUAUGAUGUUCUGUAAUUUGUGAUAGUAGUAAACACAAAAGGGAAUACUAAUCUUUUCUUAUCCUUUUGUUUGUCUGAUAGCAUUUCAUUAACCAUACUCAACUGAUACAAUCGCUGUAAUCACCUUUUUCCUCCUGGUUUCAAAUACAAACUUUUGCACUGUGUGUAUACCUUACUUCUGAAAACAUGAUUUUAAAGGCAGAAAUCCAUUUAUAAAUCAGUGAGUUACUACUCAACAUUGUAUAGUACAACUACUCAAAGUACGGUCAUUAACCUGUUAUCUAAAGUAUCUGUAAGUUGCAACUGUGAAAUAAUUCCCAGAACUGGGAAUUCCCUGCUCCAAGCACUUAUGACCUUAGGAAAAGGCAGGCUAAGACCACACUAACAAUAUAAGUGGAACAGACAAGGAUACAAAAAUGAUGACAAACUGUGAACAUUUGUUCUUUGCUUAAUAAAGAAAAUACCACACCGAGAAAUAUCUACCAUGUCCCGCAAUCUGUGAUAAAUUCUUAAUUUUUAAUCAGUGUCUUAUUUAGUUCCAUGUUUCUGAGUAUCAGGUACUUAGAGAAACAAGAAUGAAACAUUAGAAUGAUGCAGGUCUGGGUGUAGAU
This is a long non-coding RNA of Rhea pennata, 3957 nucleotides long. RefSeq lists it as uncharacterized. Lineage: Eukaryota; Metazoa; Chordata; Aves; Rheiformes; Rheidae. The record is from RefSeq and is a predicted model, not a curated record. The transcript has 3 exons.